CCUACGGGGGGCAGCAGUGGGGAAUAUUGGACAAUGGGCGAAAGCCUGAUCCAGCCAUGCCGCGUGUGUGAAGAAGGCCUUCGGGUUGUAAAGCACUUUCAGUGGGGAAGAAAGCCUUGGGGCUAAUACCCUCGAGGAAGGACAUCACCCACAGAAGAAGCACCGGCUAACUCCGUGCCAGCAGCCGCGGUAAUACGGAGGGUGCGAGCGUUAAUCGGAAUUACUGGGCGUAAAGCGCGCGUAGGCGGUCUGAUAAGCCGGUUGUGAAAGCCCCGGGCUCAACCUGGGAACGGCAUCCGGAACUGUCAGGCUAGAGUGCAGGAGAGGAAGGUGGAAUUCCCGGUGGAGCGGUGAAAUGCGUAGAGAUCGGGAGGAAUACCAGUGGCGAAGGCGGCCUUCUGGACUGACACUGACGCUGAGGUGCGAAAGCGUGGGUAGCAAACAGGAUUAGAUACCCGAGUAGUC
RNAcentral lists this ribosomal RNA (465 nucleotides) under Vreelandella stevensii. RNAcentral's name for it is "partial 16S ribosomal RNA". It matches the Rfam family "Bacterial small subunit ribosomal RNA", at positions 338 to 795 of the family's 1533-position model. Lineage: Bacteria; Pseudomonadati; Pseudomonadota; Gammaproteobacteria; Oceanospirillales; Halomonadaceae. The record is from RNAcentral.